Long non-coding RNA from Thalassophryne amazonica, 655 nucleotides. RefSeq lists it as uncharacterized. The transcript has 2 exons. The record is from RefSeq and is a predicted model, not a curated record. Lineage: Eukaryota; Metazoa; Chordata; Actinopteri; Batrachoidiformes; Batrachoididae.
CCUUCCUCCUUCUCUAUCCCCUCUCCUCUCCGCCGCAGAACGCGUUAGGUGACAGCGCGCGCGCGCGCGGAGUGGAAUAUCCAUCAGCGCCGUCGUCGUCUUUCAUCCCUUCAGUCUCCACUCGGUCCUUCCUUCGGACUCCUGGUACCCGGAGCUGCCGCAGCCGCGCUCCUCCUCCUCCGCCCUCCCCCACCGCACGCGCUGCUCUGCCUUGGGACGCUGUCCGCUCCGCGCUCGCGCAGAUUAUGCGUGGAUUCUGCGCGCUGAUGCUGAUGUCCUUGAGCUCGGCCUGCACGAUCCUGAUGGUACAGCAGUAGCUACAUCUGAAGUGGAUUUGCUUCCUGUCUCUGAAUCAUCAGCCGCCUUUGCCUUGCUCGCCCCUCUCUCCACCUGUCCAUCAUCUCUUCAUCCCUGUCUGUCACUCCGUCAGCCUGUCCAUUUGUCCAUGGACCGGCUGUGACCCUGGAGGGAGGGGGGCAGAAACGAGCAAAGAGUGGAAUCACGGAGGAGACAACGGAAAAAUAAACCUGGAUUCAUUCAGACAUCACACCUUUCAAGUGACCCUGGUCUUUGUCCUUCAUCCCCCUCAUCCCCCUUCUGUUCCUCCUCCUCUUCCUGUUAUGGAGAGGUAAUGGUGGAAGAAUAGGCUGAGAUA